UACGUAGGGUGCAAGCGUUGUCCGGAAUUAUUGGGCGUAAAGAGCUCGUAGGCGGUUUGUCGCGUCUGCUGUGAAAAUCCAGGGCUUAACCCUGGACCUGCGGUCGAUACGAGCAUCACUGGAGUUCGGCAGGGGAGACUGGAAUUCCUGGUGUAGCGGUGGAAUGCGCAGAUAUCAGGAGGAACACCAAUAGCGAAGGCAGCUCGCUGGGACGUUACUGACACUGAGGCGCGAAAGCGUGGGGAGCGAACAGG
Molecule: ribosomal RNA, 254 nt
Filed under: uncultured bacterium
Lineage: Bacteria
Description: partial 16S ribosomal RNA
Rfam family: Bacterial small subunit ribosomal RNA
Source: RNAcentral